This is a non-coding RNA of Podarcis muralis (Common wall lizard), 744 nucleotides long. The record is from RefSeq and is a predicted model, not a curated record. Lineage: Eukaryota; Metazoa; Chordata; Lepidosauria; Squamata; Lacertidae.
GAGAGCGAGCUCGGGAGGCAGAAGGAACAACGGCAGCGCCACACGCACACACAGGAAAAGGCUCGCUGCGCACCUCCAGCCUUCGAGCCCCGCAGACGUGAAAGCUCCUGAACCUUGAAGAAAACACAAGAAACACAGCAGGCAUUUUAUUCCUUGGUAACAGCAAGCGGCAGACAGACUAUUGCUUGUUCUCAUCAACAGAUCAGCACUGGUUCUAUCCUGGAGGCACUGGAAUGAUCUCCUCUUCCAGGCUUGGGAUCUUCUAAACACUCCCUCCAGCUUUCUUCUCAAGCAGAGACCAAGAGGAAGAUUAGGCUUGCAGUCAUCCAUUCGUUUUAUCACCAGAGGCCCAGGGCAGGUAGAUCUUGUGACUGGGAGGAAAGUGUGACAGUUGUCAUUGUGCUCAAGCUGGAGGGAUUUAGGCAGAGCCAUGGGGUUAAAGGCUAGAGGAGUGGAGGUCUUAGGAUGGGAAGGCAAUGAACUAAAUGAGUGGCCAUGUAAGUACUAUUUGGGUAGAAGAAAGACUGAAGGUGGGAAGGAUGGGAAAUAGGGGAAGAUGAGGUAAUGGAUUUUGGGAGCUCAUUAUAUAGAAGAAUGGGGAGAAACAAAUGAUUUGGAAGUAGGCUUUGAAAAUUAUAUUGGAUUAUUUGGACAAGCACUGAAACAUGAAGGGUCGUAUUCCACUAAGAUUUCCUGAAGGAGCGUCUCCACCCCCAUCGUCCAGCCCAGACACUGAGGUCCAGC